UUCUAUAUGCCUAUAACGCAUCAUCUAAUUUUAGGGACCCGUCCUUUCUUGAUGAGUUGACAGUAGUCUCCAAUAUUCUUUUAAUUUCACGGUUGGAGAUCUCUACUUGUCCACUUGUUUGAGGAUGAUAUGGUGUUCCUACACGAUGAGUAACACCGUAUUUUGUCAAUAGAGAAUCCAAAUAACGAUUACAAAAAUGCUUACCUCCAUCC
This 212-nucleotide long non-coding RNA is filed under the name Elaeis guineensis (African oil palm). RNAcentral's name for it is "long non-coding RNA (EGUI_LNC000164)". The record is from RNAcentral. Lineage: Eukaryota; Viridiplantae; Streptophyta; Magnoliopsida; Arecales; Arecaceae.